RNAcentral lists this ribosomal RNA (450 nucleotides) under uncultured bacterium. Its description in RNAcentral is "bacterial SSU rRNA". It matches the Rfam family "Bacterial small subunit ribosomal RNA", at positions 29 to 524 of the family's 1533-position model. The record is from RNAcentral.
AACGAACGCUGGCGGCAGGCCUAACACAUGCAAGUCGAGCGCGCCCUUCGGGGUGAGCGGCGGACGGGUGAGUAACGCGUGGGAACGUGCCCUUUGCUACGGAAUAGUCUCGGGAAACUGGGGGUAAUACCGUAUGAGCCCUUCGGGGGAAAGAUUUAUCGGCAAAGGAUCGGCCCGCGUUGGAUUAGGUAGUUGGUGGGGUAAUGGCUCACCAAGCCGACGAUCCAUAGCUGGUUUGAGAGGAUGAUCAGCCACACUGGGACUGAGACACGGCCCAGACUCCUACGGGAGGCAGCAGUGGGGAAUCUUAGACAAUGGGCGCAAGCCUGAUCUAGCCAUGCCGCGUGAGCGAUGAAGGCCUUAGGGUUGUAAAGCUCUUUCGUGGGGGAAGAUAAUGACUGUACCCCAAGAAGAAGCCCCGGCCAACUCCGUGCCAGCAGCCGCGGUAAU